This 2318-nucleotide long non-coding RNA is filed under the name Canis lupus familiaris (dog). Its description in RNAcentral is "lncRNA (ENSCAFG00000056365.1)". Lineage: Eukaryota; Metazoa; Chordata; Mammalia; Carnivora; Canidae. The record is from RNAcentral.
UUAUUUAUUUAUGAAAGACACAGAGAGAGAGAGAGAGAGAGAGAGGCAGAGACACAGGCAGAGGGAGAAGCAGGCUCCAUGCAGGGAGCCCCAUGCGGGACUCGAUCCCAGGACCCCAGGAUCACACCCUGGCCCGAAGGCAGGUGCUAAACCACUGAGCCACCCAGGAAUCCCGCUUUUGGGAUUUCAAAUGGAUUUUCCUCUCUCUAUAUUAUUUCAUUUAAUCCUCAUAACUCAGGAAGUAAAUAUCUAUCAACAUUAAAUUAAUAUUCAUUAUUUUUUGAACACAUACUAUGUGGAAGAGAGAUGGAGAAUGCCAGAGGAGUGAUCAAUCUGAAAUAUGGUGGCCACAGAAGUCUUACCUACACUGGAAAAAAAGUGGAGGUUACAUAUCUCUAGGUUUCAACAGACAUUCAUCAAAUGGAAGAUAAGUGGUAUACAGCAGAGCCAGGGUGCAAUUAUUGUACUAAUCCCUCAGUGAUAAAUUAGAAGGCUCUUGAAAUAGCCCAGGCCAGACAAAUGAAUGCCAAAUAGGUAGCCCUAUGAGAAUGAUUCAAACAACAGGACAGAGAUGGAAUCAGUUUAGAUGUGGGGGUCCCAGGUGGAUGCAGCUGUUGUCACUGGAACAGGAGGAGAAGGAAGGGGCAGAGUUUGGAAGGCAAGAAAGGAGACAAGGUAUGGGUCAGGUAAACAUACCUGUAGGUAUGAGGGCCCUCCAAAAGGUCCAGAGGGCCCUCAGUACGGUAGGUGUGGGCUGCAGAGAGGCUGAGAUAGGAAAUGCAAGAUGGAGCAUUACUGGCAUGUAGAUGGCAGCUCAGGCUUGGGCACUGCCCUGCUACAGCCCUGCCAGGAAGAGAAGAGGAAGGGGCUGGCACCAACCUCCUCUGGGCAAUCUCAGUCCUGCCUGUGAGCUCCAUGGAAGCAGGCUACACGGGACAGGGCCGGUACUGGUGAAACGACCGAGUAGGUUCUACGUGAGUGCAUCUCUCAGGGACCCGCUGCAGCUGCCAGCUCUACUGCAUGGCCCCUAUCCUGGACGCAGUCUCAUUAUUCAGCUCUCACUUCUUAAAUUAGUUCAUGCUCUCACAUUAGGUGUAAUCACGGCUGGCAACGCUUUCUGGGGAUGUCUCCAAAAGAUUAGAGUCGGAAAAAAAAUUUUUGUGUGUCAUUUUAAUCUAAAGUAAAAUUGUUGCCUCUUUUCCCAUCCCUUCCCCUUUCUCCAGGCGAGCCUGAGUGACUGCAAACGGAGGCGGGUGUCGGGGAUGGGGUUCCCCGCAGGUGAUUCUUUAGACAGCUAUCAAAGUCUCAAAGAAACAAAGGAGGUUGACAAGCUGAAAGGCGUGGCUAUUGGCGAUUCCAAGGCAGGCUUCCCCGCGUGGGGGAGCGCGUACCCAUGGGCGGCAGACCUCGCUGGUGGCAAAUCCUGAGGUUGAAAGGAAGCGCAGUCGGUCCGAGCCCCCAGGUCUUGCCAGACUCCCCGGCUUGCGCUGGGCUGCCGCCUGCCGCUCGUCGGCUCUGGCUCUGCGGAGCUCGCAGAUUCAAGGUCGCCCGGGGGUGACCGCGGCGCCAGGUGCCCCGGGGGCGGGGGCAGCAUCCCUCCCCGCCCGCCUCCGCGUGGGGUCCGGAGCCGGCACCUCAGCUCGGGCUGUGGCCGGGAGGUCCGCUCGUCCUCCGCUUCCGCCCGCUUAACCGCCCGCGAUCCUCCAGCAGGUCUCCGCCCGCCGCACCUCGGGCUCCAGCGCGCCCUUCCUCUUACCCUCUCCGCAGUUCCCUUCUCCCUGCCACUUGGCCAAACUGUAUUUUUGCUUCCUCGUUUGUGAUUGCAAACACCCGUUUGUGUGUGCAAAGUUCUAAGUCAACGUGUGCGGCAAAAAUUCUUGUAGGGUCAGAAUUACUCCUGAAAAAUCGCCCACGACUCGCAAGAUUUGGGGUCUACAACUCAGCUCUAAGGUACAGGUCACGUAGAUAAAACACGCAGUAAAGAUGCACGGCACAGACAAAAAAUACGGAUGCAACGUAUCAACCGUUAAGUGCCAAAGGGAAAAAGCGAUCCGGUAAUGGGCCUGCGUGCGACGCCACCGUGCUUGUCACUGCCCAGUGUGCUGGGCCUCGUCGGCGUCGGUUCACCACGGCACCCUCCGCGCGCGGCCCCGGGCCUGGCACUUCACGCGCGUGCAAUGAUCCAUCCCGAAGAGAAGGAAGGAACGCGGCCCGCAGGCUAGGGGCCGUGAGAGGCAGGCGGGGCAGCUGGGCGAGCUCCACCCCGGCGGCCGCGGCCGCGGUCCCCGCACCUCCCGGGAGGCUGCCGCGCUCGCCCC